This is a long non-coding RNA of Saccostrea cuccullata (small rock oyster), 371 nucleotides long. RefSeq lists it as uncharacterized. The transcript has 5 exons. The record is from RefSeq and is a predicted model, not a curated record. Lineage: Eukaryota; Metazoa; Mollusca; Bivalvia; Ostreida; Ostreidae.
CGCAGAUGCAGAUUUCAAGAGAUUGGGGAAUUUCACCGUAUUUUGAUUCGCCAUGUUUGUGAUUUGACCUUUAGGAAGUUUCACGUGUGCGUGCAGCAGCAGAAACAUUGAGGUUAAUUCUCGUUUAUAUGAGCAGAGACAAUUUCCGUAAGAAAUGUCAUUGAUGCACAUCUCCAUCUUCAUUCUGUCAGUGGUUCUUCGAGAAUCCAGGGCUGAAUGCGAGCGAGAAGAGGAAUGCGAGUUCGAAAAACUUAAAAGGGAUAUUCUGAUAUUUUUUGGUGCUAUACUUGGAUUUGCCUUAGUGAUGGGACUUUGUACUUAUCUGGUCUACAAACUAUACAAAAUGAAAUACACAGACGAUGUCGUGAUCA